GGGUAGUAAUAUUCAGUGGCUAAGCGAAAGCGAUAAGUGAUCCACCUGGGGAGUACGAUCGCAAGGUUGAAACUCAAAGGAAUUGACGGGGGCCCGCACAAGCGGAGGAGCAUGUGGUUUAAUUCGAUGAUACGCGAGGAACCUUACCCGGGCUUGAACGUAAGACGAAUAUACAGGAAACUGUAUAGCCUACGGGCGUCUUGCGAGGUGCUGCAUGGUUGUCGUCAGCUCGUGCCGUGAGGUGUUAGGUUAAGUCCUGCAACGAGCGCAACCCUUACACAUAGUUGCCAGCACGUAAUGGUGGGGACUCUAUGGGAACUGCCUACGCAAGUAGAGAGGAAGGUGGGGAUGACGUCAAAUCAGCACGGCCCUUAUGUUCGGGGCUACACACGUGCUACAAUGGCAUAUACAGAGGGCAGCCACUACGCGAGUAGGAGCUAAUCCUCAAAGUAUGUCUCAGUUCGGAUUGGAGUCUGUAACUCGACUCUAUGAAGUUGGAUUCGCUAGUAAUCGCGC
RNAcentral lists this ribosomal RNA (516 nucleotides) under uncultured bacterium. RNAcentral describes it as "bacterial SSU rRNA". It matches the Rfam family "Bacterial small subunit ribosomal RNA", at positions 825 to 1347 of the family's 1533-position model. The record is from RNAcentral.